GGCCUGGCUGGGUGGUCUUGCCGCAAGGUAAGCACUGCUCUGGUCGGGUCUUUCCUUCUGGGGAACCAGCGUGCUCUUAAUUGAGUGCGCUGGGGAUCCAGGACUUUUACUUUGAAAAAAUUAGAGUGUUUAAAGCAGGCAUACGCUUGAAUACUUCAGCAUGGGAUAAUGGAACAGGAC
RNAcentral lists this ribosomal RNA (180 nucleotides) under uncultured Glomeromycotina. RNAcentral's name for it is "partial small subunit ribosomal RNA". The record is from RNAcentral. Lineage: Eukaryota; Fungi; Glomeromycota.